Molecule: non-coding RNA, 1131 nt
Organism: Nylanderia fulva
Lineage: Eukaryota; Metazoa; Arthropoda; Insecta; Hymenoptera; Formicidae
Source: RefSeq, a predicted model, not a curated record
UCGAUAUUUCGAGAAUCGCAAUUUGCGUCAUAUCGAUAGUCUGGCAGCCAUCUUAGUCCGUACGUGCCGCGGCGACCGUUUGGUCGCAUUCAAAACCGCUCCGUAUUUAUCGCGAGUGUUAGUGUCUAAAAGUGAAUCUUGUGCUUGAAUAAUUAUCGCGAAUAUCUCUCGUAAAGUGUCGGACAUACAUUGAAGCGGUAUUAAACCGUGUGACAUCGUUAUUACAAUAUGGGCCCCUCUGAAAUCGCACUGUCGCAUACCUCACUUUUUCUCUUCGACAUAAAUUAUGGGAAAUAGGUGCAGAAUUACCAUCUCGGAAUCAGCCAUUUUAUGUACGUAUAUAUGUGUCGAGAGUAUUUUUCAAUCGAAGAAUAAUACGACACCGAAGUCCUAACAUGACUUACAACGUAUAAUUACUUGUCACAUACACGUGUCAGUCAUAUGCGGCGUACGCUUUGAUGUCGGAUUGUGCGGCAUACGCUUUGAUGUCAGAUUGGAGUUGCGCAUGCAGUUUCAUCCUCUCUAUUCCGAUUUACGACUUGGCGACCUUGGCGUACCCGUUUCGAAUCUCGCAUCAAUUAUCAGUUAUCAUAUCAUAUCGGAAGAAAAGACAGCAGCUCGAGUUAUUUCGUGUGUCUUUGUAUCAUUUUUCGAGUGAUAGUAGAACGAUAACUUCAAAAAUCUGCUUACAAGGAUUACAAGAUGCCGUGAAUAUGACUUAAGGACCUUAAGAAUCAAAUAUGAAAUUAUGCUAAUUGGAGGCAUAUCGUGAUGAGUGGAUGUAAAUAAUAAGAAACAUACUUGACUAUUGGCACAGAGGAUGGAUAUACUUACUUAAAUGCAGUUGCCUAGCGACGGCGAUUGCUGUGCAAGAAGCCACGCUUAAUUUAGUUAUAGUCUGUCAAGGUAGCAUUGCGAGACACAGUGCGAUUCACGCGUCGUGUCGGGAGUGCCGUGUAAAAAUGUCGCGCGUCGGGAGUGCCGUGUAAAGUGUUGGGCAAUCAUAAUUAUUGUGUUUCCGCGAGUGAAUGCUUCGAAGGAUUAAGAAAGGAAGAGGAGACCCGUGGAGGUAUUGCGGAAACAAUAGCGGGGCAACUCUAAAUGCUGUGUACUACAACUCCGCUAUUGCAC